CCUACGGGUGGCAGCAGUGGGGAAUAUUGCACAAUGGGGGAAACCCUGAUGCAGCAACGCCGCGUGAAGGAAGACGGUUUUCGGAUUGUAAACUUCUGUUCUUAGUGAAGAAUAAUGACGGUAGCUAAGGAGCAAGCCACGGCUAACUACGUGCCAGCAGCCGCGGUAAUACGUAGGGGGCAAGCGUUGUCCGGAAUUACUGGGGGUAAGGGGAGCGCAGGCGGGAAGCAAAGUCAGCUGUUAAAACUGCGGGCUUAACUUGUGGACUGCAGUUGAAACGGGUUUUCUUGAGUGAGGUAGAGGUUGGCGGAAUUCCGAGUGUAGCGGUGAAAUGCGUAGAUAGUGGGAGGAACACCGAUGGCGAAGGCGGCCAACUGGGCUUUAACUGACGCUGAGGCUCGAAAGUGUGGGGAGCAAACAGGAUUAGAUACCCUAGUAGUC
Molecule: ribosomal RNA, 441 nt
Filed under: uncultured bacterium
Lineage: Bacteria
Description: partial 16S ribosomal RNA
Rfam family: Bacterial small subunit ribosomal RNA
Source: RNAcentral